This 611-nucleotide ribosomal RNA is filed under the name uncultured bacterium. RNAcentral's name for it is "bacterial SSU rRNA". It matches the Rfam family "Bacterial small subunit ribosomal RNA", at positions 59 to 667 of the family's 1533-position model. The record is from RNAcentral.
CAGUCGAACGGUAACAGGUCUUCGGAUGCUGACGAGUGGCGAACGGGUGAGUAAUACAUCGGAACGUGCCCGAUCGUGGGGGAUAACGGAGCGAAAGCUUUGCUAAUACCGCAUACGAUCUACGGAUGAAAGCAGGGGACCGCAAGGCCUUGCGCGGACGGAGCGGCCGAUGGCAGAUUAGGUAGUUGGUGGGAUAAAAGCUUACCAAGCCGACGAUCUGUAGCUGGUCUGAGAGGACGACCAGCCACACUGGGACUGAGACACGGCCCAGACUCCUACGGGAGGCAGCAGUGGGGAAUUUUGGACAAUGGGCGAAAGCCUGAUCCAGCCAUGCCGCGUGCAGGAUGAAGGCCUUCGGGUUGUAAACUGCUUUUGUACGGAACGAAAAGACUCCUUCUAAUAAAGGGGGUCCAUGACGGUACCGUAAGAAUAAGCACCGGCUAACUACGUGCCAGCAGCCGCGGUAAUACGUAGGGUGCAAGCGUUAAUCGGAAUUACUGGGCGUAAAGCGUGCGCAGGCGGUUAUAUAAGACAGAUGUGAAAUCCCCGGGCUCAACCUGGGAACUGCAUUUGUGACUGUAUAGCUAGAGUACGGUAGAGGGGGAUGGAAU